GGUUAAGCGACUAAGCGUACACGGUGGAUGCCCUGGCAGUCAGAGGCGAUGAAGGACGUGCUAAUCUGCGAUAAGCGUCGGUAAGGUGAUAUGAACCGUUAUAACCGGCGAUUUCCGAAUGGGGAAACCCAGUGUGAUUCGUCACACUAUCAUUAACUGAAUCCAUAGGUUAAUGAGGCGAACCGGGGGAACUGAAACAUCUAAGUACCCCGAGGAAAAGAAAUCAACCGAGAUUCCCCCAGUAGCGGCGAGCGAACGGGGAGCAGCCCAGAGCCUGAAUCAGUGUGUGUGUUAGUGGAAGCGUCUGGAAAGGCGUGCGAUACAGGGUGACAGCCCCGUACACAAAAAUGCACAUACUGUGAGCUCGAUGAGUAGGGCGGGACACGUGGUAUCCUGUCUGAAUAUGGGGGGACCAUCCUCCAAGGCUAAAUACUCCUGACUGACCGAUAGUGAACCAGUACCGUGAGGGAAAGGCGAAAAGAACCCCGGCGAGGGGAGUGAAAAAGAACCUGAAACCGUGUACGUACAAGCAGUGGGAGCACGCUUAGGCGUGUGACUGCGUACCUUUUGUAUAAUGGGUCAGCGACUUAUAUUCUGUAGCAAGGUUAACCGAAUAGGGGAGCCGAAGGGAAACCGAGUCUUAACUGGGCGUUAAGUU
RNAcentral lists this ribosomal RNA (658 nucleotides) under Shigella flexneri. Its description in RNAcentral is "partial 23S ribosomal RNA". It matches the Rfam family "Bacterial large subunit ribosomal RNA", at positions 1 to 701 of the family's 2925-position model. The record is from RNAcentral. Lineage: Bacteria; Pseudomonadati; Pseudomonadota; Gammaproteobacteria; Enterobacterales; Enterobacteriaceae.